RNAcentral lists this ribosomal RNA (902 nucleotides) under Bacillus velezensis. RNAcentral's name for it is "bacterial SSU rRNA". Lineage: Bacteria; Bacillati; Bacillota; Bacilli; Caryophanales; Bacillaceae. The record is from RNAcentral.
CAKGGYAGCCCGCAGAGUUUGAUCAUGGCUCAGGACGAACGCUGGCGGCGUGCCUAAUACAUGCAAGUCGAGCGGACAGAUGGGAGCUUGCUCCCUGAUGUUAGCGGCCGGACGGGUGAGUAACACGUGGGUAACCUGCCUGUAAGACUGGGAUAACUCCGGGAAACCGGGGCUAAUACCGGAUGGUUGUUUGAACCGCAUGGUUCAGACAUAAAAGGUGGCUUCGGCUACCACUUACAGAUGGACCCGCGGCGCAUUAGCUAGUUGGUGAGGUAACGGCUCACCAAGGCGACGAUGCGUAGCCGACCUGAGAGGGUGAUCGGCCACACUGGGACUGAGACACGGCCCAGACUCCUACGGGAGGCAGCAGUAGGGAAUCUUCCGCAAUGGACGAAAGUCUGACGGAGCAACGCCGCGUGAGUGAUGAAGGUUUUCGGAUCGUAAAGCUCUGUUGUUAGGGAAGAACAAGUGCCGUUCAAAUAGGGCGGCACCUUGACGGUACCUAACCAGAAAGCCACGGCUAACUACGUGCCAGCAGCCGCGGUAAUACGUAGGUGGCAAGCGUUGUCCGGAAUUAUUGGGCGUAAAGGGCUCGCAGGCGGUUUCUUAAGUCUGAUGUGAAAGCCCCCGGCUCAACCGGGGAGGGUCAUUGGAAACUGGGGAACUUGAGUGCAGAAGAGGAGAGUGGAAUUCCACGUGUAGCGGUGAAAUGCGUAGAGAUGUGGAGGAACACCAGUGGCGAAGGCGACUCUCUGGUCUGUAACUGACGCUGAGGAGCGAAAGCGUGGGGAGCGAACAGGAUUAGAUACCCUGGUAGUCCACGCCGUAAACGAUGAGUGCUAAGUGUUAGGGGGUUUCCGCCCCUUAGUGCUGCAGCUAACGCAUUAAGCAMYCCCCCCCGG